AGCGAACGCUGGCGGCAGGCUUAACACAUGCAAGUCGAGCGCCCCGCCAGGGGAGCGGCAGACGGGAGAGUAACACGUGGGAACAUACCUUUUGGUUCGGAACAACUGAGGGAAACUUCAGCUAAUACCGGAUAAGCCCUUACGGGGAAAGAUUUAUCGCCGAAAGAUUGGCCCGCGUCUGAUUAGCUAGUUGGUGAGUUAACGGCUCACCAAGGCGACUAUCAGUAGCUUGUCUGUGAGGAUGAUCAGCCUCACUGGGACUGAGACACGGCCCAGACUCCUACGGGAGGCAGCAGUGGGGAAUAUUGGAAAAUGGAGGCAACCCUGAUCCAGCCAUGCCGCGUGAGUGAUGAAGGCCUUAGGGUUGUAAAGCUCUUUUGCCCGGGAAGAUAAUGACGGUACCGGGAGAAUAAGCCCCGGCUAACUUCGUG
Molecule: ribosomal RNA, 431 nt
Filed under: uncultured bacterium
Lineage: Bacteria
Description: partial 16S ribosomal RNA
Rfam family: Bacterial small subunit ribosomal RNA
Source: RNAcentral